Non-coding RNA from Pelobates cultripes (western spadefoot toad), 209 nucleotides. The record is from the annotation of a GenBank genome assembly. NCBI's taxonomy places the organism in Eukaryota, Metazoa, Chordata, Amphibia, Anura, Pelobatidae.
GUCUAUGGCUAGCCUAUAGAGAGCAAUUUUAAUAGGGGUCAUGUUACCUGCAGGUCACCCAAAUUACACCCCAAGUCACUGAAGUCCCAAUCUAGACACGGAAUCACAAGGACAGUGGGAGAAGAAUAGCUUCAGUAGGACAUAGCACAUUUUUGUGUUCCUGACCCUGUGUUUCUUUAAAAUUGGUUUGUAAAUUUAUAAGAAAGUAG